CUCAACAUCUCAUACCAUGUCACCCUGUAUCCCAAGACUGGUCACCCACUGAAGCUAAGCAGGGUUGAUCAGUACUUGGAUGGGAGACCUCCUGAGAAAACUAGGUUGUUGCUGGAA
Ribosomal RNA from Sinocyclocheilus grahami, 117 nucleotides. Lineage: Eukaryota; Metazoa; Chordata; Actinopteri; Cypriniformes; Cyprinidae. The record is from Ensembl.